GCCCGGUUAGCUCAAUCGGUAGAGCGUGAGACUCUUAAGAGGGACACACGUUCUGAUACAAUCUCAAGGUUGCGGGUUCGACCCCCGCAUUGGGCU
This is a transfer RNA of Trichoderma atroviride IMI 206040, 96 nucleotides long. It matches the Rfam family "tRNA". Rfam says of the family: Transfer RNA (tRNA) molecules are approximately 80 nucleotides in length. Lineage: Eukaryota; Fungi; Ascomycota; Sordariomycetes; Hypocreales; Hypocreaceae. The record is from Rfam.